This 372-nucleotide ribosomal RNA is filed under the name uncultured organism. RNAcentral's name for it is "bacterial SSU rRNA". It matches the Rfam family "Bacterial small subunit ribosomal RNA", at positions 526 to 896 of the family's 1533-position model. The record is from RNAcentral.
CAGAGGUGGCAAGCGUCGUUCGGAAUUACUGGGCGUAAAGGGCGCGUAGGCGGCCUUCUAAGUCAGACGUGAAAUCCCCAGGCUUAACUUGGGAACUGCGUCUGAUACUGGAGGGCUCGAGUGCGGGAGAGGGAUGUGGAAUUCCAGGUGUAGCGGCGAAAUGCGUAGAUAUCUGGAGGAACACCGGUGGCGAAGGCGGCAUCCUGGACCGACACUGACGCUGAGGCGCGAAAGCUAGGGGAGCAAACGGGAUUAGAUACCCCGGUAGUCCUAGCCCUAAACGAUGAGUGCUUGGUGUGGCGGGUAUCGAUCCCUGCCGUGCCGAAGCUAACGCAUUAAGCACUCCGCCUGGGGAGUACGGUCGCAAGGCUG